RNAcentral lists this ribosomal RNA (253 nucleotides) under uncultured bacterium. RNAcentral describes it as "partial 16S ribosomal RNA". It matches the Rfam family "Bacterial small subunit ribosomal RNA", at positions 524 to 776 of the family's 1533-position model. The record is from RNAcentral.
UACGUAGGGGGCAAGCGUUGCCCGGAAUCAUUGGGCGUAAAGAGCGUGUAGGCGGUCCGGUAAGUCAGCUGUGAAAGUCAAGGGCUCAACCCUUGAAAGCCGGUUGAUACUGUCGGGCUAGAGUCCGGAAGAGGCGAGUGGAAUUCCCGGUGUAGCGGUGAAAUGCGCAGAUAUCGGGAGGAACACCAAUGGCGAAGGCAGCUCGCUGGGACGGUACUGACGCUGAGACGCGAAAGCGUGGGGAGCAAACAGG